RNAcentral lists this unclassified non-coding RNA (146 nucleotides) under soil metagenome. Its description in RNAcentral is "partial internal transcribed spacer 1". The record is from RNAcentral.
UAAUAAGUGUUUUAUGGCACUUUUUAAAUCCAUAUCCACCUUGUGUGCAAUGUCAGUCGAUCUUCUUCAUGGAGAUCGACCAAACAUCAACCUUUAUCUUUUAACUCUUUGUCUGAAAGAUAUUAUGAAUAAACUAAUUCAAAAUA